AGUGAACGCUGGCGGUAGGCCUAACACAUGCAAGUCGAACGGCAGCACAGUAAGAGCUUGCUCUUACGGGUGGCGAGUGGCGGACGGGUGAGGAAUACAUCGGAAUCUACUUUUUCGUGGGGGAUAACGUAGGGAAACUUACGCUAAUACCGCAUACGACCUACGGGUGAAAGCAGGGGAUCUUCGGACCUUGCGCGAUUGAAUGAGCCGAUGUCGGAUUAGCUAGUUGGCGGGGGAAAGGCCCACCGAGGCGACGAUCCGUAGCUGGUCUGAGAGGAUGAUCAGCCACACUGGAACUGAGACACGGUCCAGACUCCUACGGGAGGCAGCAGUGGGGAAUAUUGGACAAUGGGCGCAAGCCUGAUCCAGUCAUACCGCGUGGGUGAAGAAGGCCUUCGGGUUGUAAAGCCCUUUUGUUGGGAAAGAAAAGCAGCAGGUUAAUACCCCGCUGUUCUGACGGUACCCAAAGAAUAAGCACCGGCUAACUUCGUG
Molecule: ribosomal RNA, 492 nt
Filed under: uncultured bacterium
Lineage: Bacteria
Description: partial 16S ribosomal RNA
Rfam family: Bacterial small subunit ribosomal RNA
Source: RNAcentral